Molecule: ribosomal RNA, 467 nt
Filed under: uncultured bacterium
Lineage: Bacteria
Description: partial 16S ribosomal RNA
Rfam family: Bacterial small subunit ribosomal RNA
Source: RNAcentral
GACGAACGCUGGCGGCGUGCUUAACACAUGCAAGUCGAACGGAAAGGCCCUGCUUUUGUGGGGUGCUCGAGUGGCGAACGGGUGAGUAACACGUGAGUAACCUGCCCUUGACUUUGGGAUAACUUCAGGAAACUGGGGCUAAUACCGGAUAGGAGCUCCUGCUGCAUGGUGGGGGUUGGAAAGUUUCGGCGGUUGGGGAUGGACUCGCGGCUUAUCAGCUUGUUGGUGGGGUAGUGGCUUACCAAGGCUUUGACGGGUAGCCGGCCUGAGAGGGUGACCGGCCACAUUGGGACUGGGAUACGGCCCAGACCCCUACGGGGGGCAGCAGGGGGGAAUAUUGCACAAUGGGCGGAGGCCUGAGGCAGCAACGCCGGGUGGGGGAUGACGGCCUUCGGGUUGAAAACCGCUUUCGCUUGUGACGAAGCGGGAGUGACGGUAAUGGGGAAAGAAGCACCGGCUAAUUACGU